GGUGAGUAAUGUCUGGGAAACUGCCUGAUGGAGGGGGAUAACUACUGGAAACGGUAGCUAAUACCGCAUAACGUCGCAAGACCAAAGAGGGGGACCUUCGGGCCUCUUGCCAUCGGAUGUGCCCAGAUGGGAUUAGCUAGUAGGUGGGGUAACGGCUCACCUAGGCGACGAUCCCUAGCUGGUCUGAGAGGAUGACCAGCCACACUGGAACUGAGACACGGUCCAGACUCCUACGGGAGGCAGCAGUGGGGAAUAUUGCACAAUGGGCGCAAGCCUGAUGCAGCCAUGCCGCGUGUAUGAAGAAGGCCUUCGGGUUGUAAAGUACUUUCAGCGGGGAGGAAGGGAGUAAAGUUAAUACCUUUGCUCAUUGACGUUACCCGCAGAAGAAGCACCGGCUAACUCCGUGCCAGCAGCCGCGGUAAUACGGAGGGUGCAAGCGUUAAUCGGAAUUACUGGGCGUAAAGCGCACGCAGGCGGUUUGUUAAGUCAGAUGUGAAAUCCCCGGGCUCAACCUGGGAACUGCAUCUGAUACUGGCAAGCUUGAGUCUCGUAGAGGGGGGUAGAAUUCCAGGUGUAGCGGUGAAAUGCGUAGAGAUCUGGAGGAAUACCGGUGGCGAAGGCGGCCCCCUGGACGAAGACUGAC
Molecule: ribosomal RNA, 643 nt
Filed under: Escherichia coli
Lineage: Bacteria; Pseudomonadati; Pseudomonadota; Gammaproteobacteria; Enterobacterales; Enterobacteriaceae
Description: bacterial SSU rRNA
Rfam family: Bacterial small subunit ribosomal RNA
Source: RNAcentral